CCCUUAGAGUUUGAUCCUGGCUCAGGAUGAACGCUAGCUACAGGCUUAACACAUGCAAGUCGAGGGGCAGCAUUUCAGUUUGCUUGCAAACUGGAGAUGGCGACCGGCGCACGGGUGAGUAACACGUAUCCAACCUGCCGAUAACUCGGGGAUAGCCUUUCGAAAGAAAGAUUAAUACCCGAUGGUAUAAUCAGACCGCAUGGUCUUGUUAUUAAAGAAUUUCGGUUAUCGAUGGGGAUGCGUUCCAUUAGGCAGUUGGUGAGGUAACGGCUCACCAAACCUUCGAUGGAUAGGGGUUCUGAGAGGAAGGUCCCCCACAUUGGAACUGAGACACGGUCCAAACUCCUACGGGAGGCAGCAGUGAGGAAUAUUGGUCAAUGGACGGGAGUCUGAACCAGCCAAGUAGCGUGAAGGAUGACUGCCCUAUGGGUUGUAAACUUCUUUUAUAUGGGAAUAAAGUUUUCCAC
RNAcentral lists this ribosomal RNA (467 nucleotides) under uncultured bacterium. RNAcentral describes it as "bacterial SSU rRNA". It matches the Rfam family "Bacterial small subunit ribosomal RNA", at positions 1 to 459 of the family's 1533-position model. The record is from RNAcentral.